UCAAGAAACUUCCACAAUAGGCGAAAGCCUGAUGGAGCGACGUCGCGUGAUGGACGAAGUGCUUCGGCACGUAAACAUCUUUUAUGUGGGGUGAAAUUAUUGACAGUACCACAUGAAUAAGGGGCUCCUAACUCUGUGCCAGCAGGAGCGGUAAUACAGAGGCCCCAAGCGUUAUCCGGAAUCACUGGGCGUAAAGGGUGUCGAGGCGGUUGUAUUAGUCGUUCGUAAAAUCUACGAGCUUAACUUGUAGGCGGCGAACGAAACGGUACGACUUGAGGUUUGGAGAGGUGCGUGGAACUCACGGUGUAGGGGUGAAAUCCGUUGAUAUCGUGGGGAACACCAAAGGCGAAGGCAGCGCACUGGCCAAAAUCUGACGCUCACACACGAAAGCUAGGGUAGCGAAGAGGAUUAGAUACCCCCGUAGUCCCUGAGCGGGCUGGCAAGGCGCAU
RNAcentral lists this ribosomal RNA (450 nucleotides) under uncultured bacterium. RNAcentral's name for it is "bacterial SSU rRNA". It matches the Rfam family "Bacterial small subunit ribosomal RNA", at positions 355 to 825 of the family's 1533-position model. The record is from RNAcentral.